AUGGCUGAUCCGCCAUCCCUAGCCUCCCCCGCAUCGCAGCAGCCCGACCAGCUCGCCGCCUCUGAUUCCAUCCCGCCGAACUCCAACCCCCAAAUCCCCCCGCCCCCCAUCGUUUCCUCCGUGCAGGUCAACCCGGCGUCGGCUGUUACGGGAGGCAGAUCCACGGACCUCCCGCCGCAGCUGCAGGCGCCUUCUCGCGCGCAGGCGGCUGAAGGCGCCGGAGGAUUCGGUGCGAUCCACCGCUCGGGCCAGGCCCCCCUCGCCCCCGCCGUCGGCCAGCCUCCACGGUACGCGACAGCCGGCACGACAUAUGCCACGCAGAUGACCUUCCCGGGCGGCGGGGGGCAGUUGCGCCAGCAGCCGGGGCUGCGCGCGGCCAUGUUUGGGCAGGGGCAGCCGAGGAUGCUUCAAGGGCAGGGCAACGCAGCCUCCGCGGCGCAGUACGAGCUCCAGUUCCAGCCAACGAUGAUAGCGCAGCCAGGGCAGAGGGGCGUGGUACAAGGCGUGCAAUUCAACACUCCCACUGCACAAGCGCAGUCCAUGGGUGCUUCCCUGAUGAACCAGAUGAGGCCUAAUGGAAUUACUACCCCAUAUGGUGCUCAAACUCAGCAACGUUCUGCCUAUCAUGCACAAAUGAGGCCACAGCAGCAACCUGGAUCAUCACAAAAUGGUCCUGUGGUGCAGAUGUUACCAACGCAUCAGAUGCAAUCGGCAAUGGCCUCGCCUGCUUCUCCACAUCAACGCCAGCAAGAACAAAUGAUGCAACUGAUACAACAACUUCAGCAGAGAGGAUUGAAUCGCCAGCAGAUUGCGCAGGCGCUACAGCGACUUCCCCAUCUUAAUGCCCAACAUCUGAACCAGCAGCAACGGCAACAACAGCAAGCAUCUCCAAGGAUGCCAGCAUCAUCCGCAGGGAAGCCCGCAAACAUGGCAGGAUCGCAGCCGGCGACACCUUCCUCAGGCGGAACCGCGGCGGGUGCAAAUGCGCCGCAUCAAGGAGGGGGAAAUUGCAGCCAACUUCUUGGGAAGAGAAAGAUACAUGAUUUGGUGGCGCAGGUGGAUCCACUCUGCGAGGCUUGCAAAGCACAGGAAAUCAUCGGUUGUGGAAGCCAAGGAUGUGCUACUGCACCUGCAGAAGAAUUGUCACCUGUCCGCUCCUGGUUUCCCACAGGAGAGGAUGUGAAUGAAUCUGCAGAGAAAUUCAGUGUAGCCUUUGGUAGAAUUGUGGCAUUUACUACUUUGAAAAGCGUGAAUUGUAUUUGA
This 1263-nucleotide ribosomal RNA is filed under the name Triticum aestivum (bread wheat). Its description in RNAcentral is "partial small subunit ribosomal RNA". Lineage: Eukaryota; Viridiplantae; Streptophyta; Magnoliopsida; Poales; Poaceae. The record is from RNAcentral.